This is a long non-coding RNA of Zingiber officinale, 414 nucleotides long. RefSeq lists it as uncharacterized. Lineage: Eukaryota; Viridiplantae; Streptophyta; Magnoliopsida; Zingiberales; Zingiberaceae. The record is from RefSeq and is a predicted model, not a curated record. The transcript has 2 exons.
GUUGAGAUAUAAUUGGGAUAAUUUUACCGAUAGAGAAAUGAAAAAGGUAUGAAAUGAAAAUUCAAGUGAGAGAUACAGGACAUCCAUUCAUUUGGCUAAGAAAGCAACAUUAUCAUCUGCACAAGAAUAUUUAGGAAGGAAACCAGACAUAUUAGAUAUGAUAGGUAGAGGACCUGAUUGGAUGGAAGCUAAUAUAUGGAAUGACUUGGUUAAAAUUCAUUGGAAUAAAUCAGAUCACAAGAUCAAAUGUGAAAUUGCACAGAAGAAUAAAAUGACAGCGAAGGAUGGGUCUACUAUCAAACAUACUGGGAGUUCAAUUUCUUUUGUAGCACACCGUGAGAGAAUGAAAAAAGAUUUGGGACGAGAUGUGGAUGAAUUUGAGGUUUUUGAACGAAUGCAUAAAAGAAAAUAAGG